RNAcentral lists this long non-coding RNA (5313 nucleotides) under Equus caballus (horse). RNAcentral describes it as "lncRNA (ENSECAG00000044762.1)". Lineage: Eukaryota; Metazoa; Chordata; Mammalia; Perissodactyla; Equidae. The record is from RNAcentral.
CUCGAACCUGAUGAGACUAUUCGGCAGCUUUAUUGACAAAUCGUAUCCUGGUGAAAAGCCAGAUCUUGUCCUGCCUCAAGGUCCCCUGGGCCUCCUUAGAGUCUCUGCAGCUGAGGGAUGCGGGGACAACCAGGCCUGGCCCAGACGCUGCAGCCAAGGAGUGACGAAGCUUUUGUUUUCACCACCAGCAGUUUCUUUCUCCGUGGGACGUGGAUGGUAGAAUUCAGAGCAGGGAGGUGGUGAUAAUUGGAAAUGGCUGAACUCAUCUGGAGGCCGGAGGAAGUCAGAGGCCCCUUGCAGCCACCAUGUUCUCCACGUGCCUCAGAGAAAUGUCGGCGCCAAGAGGCAGGAAGCAGGAGUUGGGGGAAGUCCAUUGGCCCAGCUAAAGAAAGACAGUGCUGUUUCCAGGGGAGGCACAGGCCCUGGGAUUAAGAAGGGGCAGGAAUAAGGCCUUGGGGCUUUCCAGUCCCUUCCUUGGCCAGGGCCUGGCCCAGUGGCCCAUGAAGGGAACAUUUCUUGGCUAGUGUCUGCAUGUUGGGGGUGGGGUGUGUGAGGCAUGAUGGAACUCUUCUAGUCCAGCAUUUUCCAAACACUUCCCUGGGACUAGACACUCACAUGUGGUCAGAUAAGAGAGGACCAUCUCUCAGAGAUCCAUCAACUCCAUUGGUGGAUUCAAGGCUCUGAUAAGUCCAGCAGUGAGGAGACCUGUUUAUAAUUUAGUUGCAUCCGGAACUUUCUAAAAUUCUGGAUGCCCCUCCCUCUGUUUCUCAGAUGCCUAGUGACAUCUUAAAGCACUCCAUUUGGCAAAUACUGAUCUAGUCCACCUCCUCAUAAGAACAACAAGAGGUGGUAGGACUUGCCCAAGGCCACGCAAUCAGAAGCAGAUUGAGCCAUCCUGACUUGGAACUGUCUAAGCAGGCCCGGCUUUGAGUUUCAGACAUUACCGUGGAGAAGCCGGUGGUCUCAGAUAAGGAAACAAAGCACAGAGAAGUUAUGCAAUGUGCACAGCCUGCUGGUGAGUGGCGGAUCUGGUUGCAGAACUCCUGCCUGGCUCGGGGAGCCCUGGCUGACCUCCUCCGUCAGCACGUGGCCCCAGCGUGUCUCCUGGCCCACCACACCCUCCGGAGCCUCUGAUGUUUACAAUUCUGCCCUGCGAGGCUUUGAACCUACCCCUGCCCGCUGCCUGCCAGGGCUUGUCCUGCCAGCCUGUGUCUGCGUGGCCUUUAUUGAUUUUCUGGCUGGCGGAGCCUGCAAGGAACAUGCUCUCUCUAAUGGAGUGUUAAUUGGGAGGGAAGCGGAGAGAAAGCUUUUCCUCUGCCGCCCUGCUUAGAGGGAGGGAGGGAGCCCCCAGCUCCUGUUUUUUCUUUCCCGGAGCAUUCCCUCUCCCAGGCUGGGAUGUGGUGGCAGGAGCCGUGGGCCCGGAGUCAUGGGUAGGCCCAGACUCUUGCUGCUGCUGACUCACACCGUGACCUUGGACGAGUCCCGCCUGGGCCUCAGCCUCCUCAACUGCAAAAUGGGACACUAGACACCUCUGCUCCUCGCGGCUGGAGUGAGGAUUGCUUGAGAGAAGAAAUAAGACUUUUAGCCCAGCCCUUGGCACCUAGGGUGCUCAAUACAUUAUCCAUUUGCCUCUGGCCUCCCGAUUCCCAGACAGCCUGGGUUUGAAUCCGUGGUGGCCUUGAGGGAGUUACUUUAACAUCUCUGUGCCUCAGUUUCCUCAACUGUAAAAAGAAGAGACAGACAGGACCCAUCUCCUCUGGUUGUAUUGACUGAGAUGCUGCGGGGAAGGCACCUAGCGUGGUCUCUAGCAGACAGUAGGCACUCAAUCAAGGUUAUCAAUUAGUAUCGUUAUAAUGACCACUAUGCCUCAGUUUCCUCCCCUGACAAAGGGAGGCGUUUCUCUUGAAAGCUGCGCUGGUUAUCAACACUAUGAUGGUCCAGCGUGAAACAUGCCCUUCGAGACUGUUGUGAUGCCGGGGUGCAAGGGAGCCCAUCUCUUCCUUGUCUUUGAUUCCUUCUCUGUUUAACUCAUUCUUUACAUUCAACGCCCUCUGUCAAAAUAUCUGACGCUGUUUACCUUUUCCUGCCUGGACUCUGAUUGAUACAGCACCCGAAGGCCCCAGCAGCCGGGUCAGGUUAAGAUUUCCCCUGGAAGCCAGGAGAGGAGUGCUUUUCCAUAAAGAUAACUCCUGUGGGCUGCAUUCCUGAGCCCUGAAGUCACCUGUGUCAUACUGUCACAGCUUCCCCGUAAGGAACUGUCCUCUUGGCUGUUUCCAGGGCUGAUGUCUAUGCCUCCCUCCCCGGGUUCUCUCUCCUUUUUCUCGGCCCCCUACUCACCAGACACCUCCACGUAUCCGUCCUUGGUCUUCACCAUCAGCUCCUCCGGCUUGAAGCUGUGCACGUUGACACACACUUUCCAGGGCUCCCCAGGGAACGGUGGGGGGGUCCUGCCCUCAGCAGGUACCCCAAACCUGGCCGUGGCGGUGGGCCCCCGGGGCACCAUGCCCGACCUCAGGGUCCCCGGCCAGGCCGAGGAGAAUGGAGGCAGGCCCCAGUCAUGCCAAGAGGCAGUCAAAUUGUCGUGGAAGGGGUCCAUGCCAAAGCCAUCAUCCAGCAGGCGGGAGGAGAGGGGCGAGUCUCGGAAGGGGUCCCGGCGCAGGCGGCCCGUGUAGGGGAAGGGCAUCUGACCAUCAGCCAUGGUGGCCGCUGAGCUGGAGGGGAAGUGGAGGCUCAGAGAACCACAGCCACCUGCCCAAGGUCACACAGCAAGCUGAUGUGGGUGGGCUGGUCUUCCAAACUUAUUCUUCAGCUUCAGAAAAUGCUGAACCAUCCACUGCCAGGGACGGAGGCACACACCAGGCUGGGGUCCUGGGCCCCAGAGACACUCCAGCCACCAAAGGCGACCCCCCGCUGAUCCAGCAGAAUCCCAGAGGGCCCUUAUCCGUACUGCCUCACCAGGGAUCAGCCAGUCUCUGUCCUCGCAGGCCACACAGGCUGGCAGCCAGAGCCGCUGAGGUCUAAAGAGGAGCCAGGAGCUUAAUAAACCCAGGGAGGCAGGCCUAGAAACUUCUCGCUUCUCCUGGGCUGGGAGCUUUCUAUUUAUUGCUGCUGGGGGCUGGAGGCGGGUUUUGCAAGUGGCUCCUGUCACAGGAGUAUUCCGAGGUGAUGAACCAGCCCCAGAGAAUCCGCUGAGGGAACAGCUGUGCUCCAGGGGGCUGGGAGGGGCCCUGGCAGCCAAGUUCAGCCAGCCUCUCUGGGCAGUCUCUCCUCCCCACGCUGGCUCAGCUCCGCCCUCCCACUCCCUUCCCCGGAGCCAUCCUCCCCAGCCAGGGCACUAUUAAUAACCCUCUGCCUGGCCCAGGGCUCAGGUCACCCUCUGGAAAUACCUUCCCCAGAGCGUGCUGCAUCCUGCCUCCCCCCUGGGGACCUGCAGAAGUGGAGGAGGGACAGAUGGGAGCCCCAUAGAUCUGGAGGCAGAUGGCCCUGGGUUGCACUCCCCACUUGCAUGCGCUCAGAGCUCGCCCUCCCCGUCCUUGGGAGAGUAACAUGCCUGCCCUCCCCAUGCAUCCCUGAGCUCUCAGUUUCCCCACCUGCAAAAUGGACGUAAUGGUAGCCUCCUGUGGGCGUGUCCUGAGGAGAACGUGAGGCGAUCUUAAGCCUUUAGCAGACGACACUUCUGUAUUUUCAAUGUUCUCAAUGACGUAAUGUUUGCUGUAUGCCGAGCCCUGUUCUACAGGCUUUACAAAUAUUAACCCCUCCUCACCAACAAUCCCACAAUGUGAACUUACCACUAUCAUCUGCAUUUUACAGACGGGGGAACUGCCAUAGGAAGUGGCACCCAAUAGGAGCUUCUAUUAUUAUUAUGACUGUAAAUAAUGAUGAUUAUCACAACGUGCUGUACCCAGGCAUGGUGUCUAGUCUGGACCUCGAAGCCCAGAGAUGACCUAUUUUCUAGAUUCCCCUGUCACUUGGAGAGCUAAUCUAUAAAGCAGACUUUGAACGAAAGGCCCCUUCAGCUGGGGUUCCAAUCUUUGAUCUGUCCCCAACAGGUGGGCCUCUGGGGGCACGCCAUCCUCCCUCUGUGGGCUUCAGGGUCUCAGCCGGCUUCCUCGUGGGGUGGAGUGGGUUGGGGGUGUUAAGGAAUUCAGUGAGUCAUUGGUUGAGAAAUUGUUUUGAUGUUAAGCAGUGCAUGCAUGAGAAAGUUUUCUAAAAAUAAGAGUCUGGAAAACAACAAGUCACCAUCCUUCACUGCCUGCUGUGUACCUGUCUCGGUGGUAGCAGGUGAGCACGGUGCAGACUUCAUGGCAUUAAAUCUUCUCAGCAAGAAGGAGGGAGUUGUCACCACCCCCACUUUGCAGGGGUUUGGAACUCUUGCUCUGCUCCUGGGGGCAGAUCCCGGGGCCUCCCGCAGUCACUCGGCCUCCUGCAGGCUCCAGGUCCAGGGAGCCCCGUCUCAGAGUUCCCUCUCUCGUACACCCCAGAGCCCAGCGCAUCUUCCUGCAAGCAGAAGGUGAGCAUGCUCCCGUGUCUUUCCUUCUGCUUCUCAGACCCCCUACGGAUGACGCUCAUGGAAUUCCAGCACACUCUCUCCAUGAGGGCAGGAGCCCCGGGAGUUUUGUUCAUAGUCGCAGCCCGGGUGCCUAGAAGGGUGCCUGGUGCGUUACAGGGGCUCAGCAGAUGCUGACCGAGUAGACGACGUCGUGUUAGCAACCCUGUGUCUGAACUGCUUGCUCACAUGCGACAGACUCCAUGCACAGCAACAGCCUUAGAAUAUUCACUGAGAUUUCCAGGGUACCUAGAAGGUGCUGGACACCUAGCUAAAUGCCUUCCAGACAUGCUUAUAUUUAAUCUUCACAACAGCCCCCCAGAGGUUCGGGCCAUCACCAUCCCCAUUUUGCAGAUGAGGAAACUGAGGCUCAGGCAUGAUGUGACUUGCCCCAUCUGCAUUCUGAACCCAGGUGUGCCUGAACGUCAGGCCCAGUGCUCUUUCCUCUGCCACACACCUGUACAAAAACAGAUGAUUAAUAAAUAAAAUAAACAACCCACAAGGUGCCACCCUAAACAGGUUGAUUCCCUCAUAAUCUCAUGCAGGUAAUCUUAUUUAUUGAGCUCUAGCUUCCUCCUAGUAUUGUCUCCAAAACUCUCUCCAGGGAUUGUGUCCCCUCACUACCUCUAUAAAUCAUUCUAAUAAUCAUGAUAACCAUAAAAAUAGCAAAGAUUUCACAUUUUGUACCAGUUAUGUUUUGCAUGUAUCAACUUAUUUAAUCGUCACCCAAAUUGCUCUAAAACAGGUACUAUUCUCUCCAUUCACAG